This 437-nucleotide ribosomal RNA is filed under the name uncultured bacterium. RNAcentral's name for it is "SSU rRNA". It matches the Rfam family "Bacterial small subunit ribosomal RNA", at positions 26 to 518 of the family's 1533-position model. The record is from RNAcentral.
AGAAUGAACGCUAGCGAUAUGCUUAACACAUGCAAGUUGAACGUUGUUUUCGAAUCAGAAUGAGAACAAAGUAGCGAACGGGUGCGUAACACGUGGGAAUCUGCCGAACAGUUUGGGCCAAAUCCCGAAUGAAUAAAAGCUAAAAAGCGCUGUUUGAUGAGCCCACGUAGUAUUAGGUAGUUGGUUAGGUAAAAGCUGACCAAGCCUACGAUGCUUAGCUGGUCUUUUCGGAUGAUCAGCCACACUGGGACUGAGACACGGCCCCAGACUCCUACGGGAGGCAGCAGUGGGGAAUCUUGGACAAUGGGCGAAAGCCUGAUCCGGCAAUAUGGCGUGAGUGAAGAAGGGCAACGCAGCUUGUAAAGCUCUUUCAUCGAGUGUGCGAUUGUGACAAGACUCGAAUAAGAAGCCCCGGCUAACUCCGCGCCAGCAGCCGC